GGUGAAAAACAAAAAUGAACAUUCCUAGCCUCUCCGAAAACAAAGAACAAGUCGUGACACAUCCACCACCAGAGAGUUCCCAGUUGGAAUCAAGGAGCCUGCUGGACCUGACCUGACCUGACCUGACCUGACUCACACAGACAAACAAGACUCUGCUCCCCUCUGAAGAACAUUUUGAGUUGUACUUCUGUGAAAAGUGGAUUUUGUGAAACCUAAAUUGCUAGGCGAGCUUCCAAGAAGAGAAGUGUAUUAAAGUUAUUUAAAUUGUGUGUGAGCAGGUAGGAAUUUUGAGCACCUUCAAUGGGAGCAGUGUGUAUGAACCCUGGAGAACAGUCACACAUGUUACACCAAAAAAAUUCAAUGUCUUCACCUUUGGACUUAUGUUUGAAUAAAUAAUUGUAUUAUUUUGAA
Notolabrus celidotus (New Zealand spotty) is the source of this 411-nucleotide long non-coding RNA. RefSeq lists it as uncharacterized. Lineage: Eukaryota; Metazoa; Chordata; Actinopteri; Labriformes; Labridae. The transcript is spliced from 2 exons. The record is from RefSeq and is a predicted model, not a curated record.